GACGAACGCUGGCGGCGUGCUUAACACAUGCAAGUUGAACGAGAAUUUUUCAGUUGAUCUCUUCGGAAUGAAACGGAAAAAGGAAAGUAGCGAACGGGUGAGUAACACGUGAGAAACCUGCCUUUCACAAAGGGAUAGCCUCGGGAAACCGGGAUUAAUACCUUAUGAUACAUUAAUAUCGCAUGAUGUAAAUGUUAAAGAAUUUCGGUGAAAGAUGGUCUCGCGUCUGAUUAGCUAGUUGGUAAGGUAGUGGCUUACCAAGGCAACGAUCAGUAGCCGGAUUGAGAGGUUGAACGGCCACACUGGAACUGAGACACGGUCCAGACUCCUACGGGAGGCAGCAGUGGGAAUUUGCACAAUGGGGGAAACCCUGAUGCAGCGACGCCGCGUGAACGAUGAAGGUCUUCGGAUUGUAACAGUUCUGUCCUUAGCGAAGAUAAUGACCAGUAGCUAAGAAGCAAAGCCCUGGCUAAAUACGUGCCAGCAGCCCGCGGUAAUACGUAUGGGGCAAGCGUUGUCCGGAACUUAUUCGGGCGUCACAGGGUAUGGUCACGNGCGGGUUAACCUCCAGUCUGAAUUUCACCAGGCUGGUGGGCUCAACCUACCGGCCGGGUUCAGAAACCUGGUUAACUUGAGUUCACAUCACGGGCACCGUGGGAAUUCCCUGUGUUCGCGGUGGAAACUUGGCGUCAGCAUAUAUUCGGAGGAACCCCCAAGUGGGCCAAAGGGCGAACUUUCCU
Molecule: ribosomal RNA, 740 nt
Filed under: uncultured Clostridia bacterium
Lineage: Bacteria; Bacillati; Bacillota; Clostridia
Description: bacterial SSU rRNA
Rfam family: Bacterial small subunit ribosomal RNA
Source: RNAcentral